Long non-coding RNA from Homo sapiens (human), 376 nucleotides. The record is from Ensembl. NCBI's taxonomy places the organism in Eukaryota, Metazoa, Chordata, Mammalia, Primates, Hominidae.
GGGAACCUUCCAACCCCACUUCCAGGCUGCCGUUUGCUGUCACAGAGUGACGUUUUCAGCAUGGCUUCAGUUCUUUUGCCCAAACAGAGGAAAACUUGCAGGAGCCUCUUUGAAAACUCUGUAAGUCACACAUGAGCUUGUUUUGCUGAGAAGGGCACCAAGACCAGCAAGUCUCCUUUAUUCAUGCAACCAACGUGUUCCGAUCCACCCCAUCAGGGUCCGUGCUGAGUCCGAGGAAGACACAAAAGUUCAGUCGCUCCCUGUUCUGCCUUUGUGGCUUCACAGAGGAGAAUCAUGUCACAGUGUGUUGGUGAAAAUGAGAUGAUGUGGGGACACUUUUCUGUCUGAGUCAAAUUGCUUAACACCAUAUAUGCAA